GACGAACGCUGGCGGCGUGCCUAAUACAUGCAAGUCGAGCGAGCUUGCCUAGAUGAAUUUGGUGCUUGCACCAGAUGAAACUAGAUACAAGCGAGCGGCGGACGGGUGAGUAACACGUGGGUAACCUGCCCAAGAGACUGGGAUAACACCUGGAAACAGAUGCUAAUACCGGAUAACAACACUAGACGCAUGUCUAGAGUUUAAAAGAUGGUUCUGCUAUCACUCUUGGAUGGACCUGCGGUGCAUUAGCUAGUUGGUAAGGCAACGGCUUACCAAGGCAAUGAUGCCUAGCCGAGUUGAGAGACUGAUCGGCCACAUUGGAACUGAGCCACGGCCCAAACUCCUACGGGAGGCAGCAGUAGGGAAUCUUCCACAAUGGACGCAAGUCUGAUGGAGCAACGCCGCGUGAGUGAAGAAGGGUUUCGGCUCGUAAAGCCCUGUUGGUAGUGAAGAAAGAUAGAGGUAGUAACUGGCCUUUAUUUGACGGUAAUUACUUAGAAAGUCACGGCUAACUACGUG
RNAcentral lists this ribosomal RNA (519 nucleotides) under uncultured bacterium. RNAcentral describes it as "partial 16S ribosomal RNA". It matches the Rfam family "Bacterial small subunit ribosomal RNA", at positions 28 to 507 of the family's 1533-position model. The record is from RNAcentral.